UAUGAAGACCCGUAAAUUAAAGAACUACUUCUUAAAUUUAGAGAUUAAAAAAAUUCUGCAUUCACAGCUUUAGCUUCUUUUUUCUUCCACGACCGUCAGGAGUACCAUCCAUUUUGCGCUUCUGUGCCUGCAAGAAGAGAAUUAAUUCAAACCUGAAGUGGAGAGAAGAUUCUGAUGAACUGUCUUAAUUUACUACAAAUCUGUUCACCACCAAACCCUGGCUGGUGAAACACAGACCAGAAUGGAAACAUCCUCUGUUUGGACAGCACUGCUGUGGGAUGGAAAAGCUAUAGGAAACAAGUGCUGAGGAUUAUGCACAGGAGGCAAAUGUCAUGCCCAGCAUGUUGUCUUCAUGCAUCAGUAGCAGUGGCCAGAUACGGAGUCCUGUUUUUCUCCUCACUGGUACCAGAAAAUAAAGCAAGCAAGAA
Molecule: long non-coding RNA, 428 nt
Organism: Pipra filicauda (Wire-tailed manakin)
Lineage: Eukaryota; Metazoa; Chordata; Aves; Passeriformes; Pipridae
Exons: 3
Source: RefSeq, a predicted model, not a curated record